Molecule: RNase P RNA, 335 nt
Filed under: bovine gut metagenome
Description: Bacterial RNase P class B
Rfam family: Bacterial RNase P class B
About the family: Ribonuclease P (RNase P) is a ubiquitous endoribonuclease, found in archaea, bacteria and eukarya as well as chloroplasts and mitochondria. Its best characterised activity is the generation of mature 5'-ends of tRNAs by cleaving the 5'-leader elements of precursor-tRNAs.
Source: RNAcentral
GGUCAAUUGCUAUAUUCACAUAUAGAGGAAAGUCCAUGCUUGCACAUUCUGAGAUGAAUGUAGUGUUUUAGUAGAAUUAACAAAUAAAUUCUAGUGCAGUUUUCUGCAACGGCAAAAUUAAUUGCUAAAAUCUUAGAUCAUGUAAUUAAUUUGUAAAGUGCCACAGUGACGAAUCAACGAGAAAUUGUUGGGUGAAACGCGGUAAACCCCUAAAGCAAGAAACCUAAAUUAUGGUAAGGGAACGUAAUUAUUAGAAUUCAAUAAUAAUUAUGACAUAAUUCAAAAUUAUGUAGAUAAAUAAUUGACACUAUUUAUAGUACAGAACAUGGCUUACA